Molecule: long non-coding RNA, 323 nt
Organism: Perognathus longimembris pacificus (Pacific pocket mouse)
Lineage: Eukaryota; Metazoa; Chordata; Mammalia; Rodentia; Heteromyidae
Exons: 3
Source: RefSeq, a predicted model, not a curated record
UUUUCUUGAUCCAUUUAUCCACUAAGGGGCAUCUGGGUUGGUUCUAUAUCUUAGCUAUGGUAAAUAAUGCUGCACAUGGUUGUGUUGGUGACAUUAGUGUGGGCUGGUUGGCGGUCAUUUGGGUAAAUGCCUGGGAGUGGGAUUUCUGGGUCAUAGGGAAGCUCUACCUUUAAUCUUUUGAGGAACCUCUACUGCUUUCCAGAGUUAUACUUUGAUAUUUUUAAUGAAAGCAUUAACUUAAAAGCCUAUUUAGCUUUUCCUGAGAACUUGCUCAUAGGAAACCCCCCGUUUUGUGUGUGUGUGUGUGUGUGUGUGUGUGUGUG